Molecule: transfer RNA, 71 nt
Filed under: Urocitellus parryii (Arctic ground squirrel)
Lineage: Eukaryota; Metazoa; Chordata; Mammalia; Rodentia; Sciuridae
Also listed under: 1 other name
Description: Spermophilus parryii (Arctic ground squirrel) tRNA
Rfam family: tRNA
About the family: Transfer RNA (tRNA) molecules are approximately 80 nucleotides in length. Their secondary structure includes four short double-helical elements and three loops (D, anti-codon, and T loops).
Source: Rfam by way of RNAcentral
GGGGUUGUGGCUCAGUGGUAUAGAGCACUUGCCUAGCAUGUGUGAGGCCCUGGGUUUGAUUCUCAGCACCA